CGUGCAGGCGGGUCGGCAAGUCUGAUGUGAAAGCCCCGGGCUCAACCUGGGAAGUGCAUUGGAAACUGCCGGUCUUGAGUUCUGGAGAGGAAGGGGGAAUUCCCGGUGUAGAGGUGAAAUUCGUAGAGAUCGGGAGGAAUACCAGUGGCGAAGGCGCCCUUCUGGACGGCAACUGACGCUGAGACGCGAAAGCGUGGGGAGCAAACAGGAUUAGAUACCCUGGUAGUCCACGCUGUAAACGAUGAGCACUAGGUGUGGCGGGUACUCAUUCCUGCUGUGCCGCAGCUAACGCGUUAAGUGCUCCGCCUGGGGAUUACGGUCGCAAGACUAAA
This 332-nucleotide ribosomal RNA is filed under the name uncultured bacterium. RNAcentral describes it as "bacterial SSU rRNA". It matches the Rfam family "Bacterial small subunit ribosomal RNA", at positions 568 to 898 of the family's 1533-position model. The record is from RNAcentral.